GUGGUUUUAACCCUAUAGGGUCAGGAAUACAUGUUUGUGUUCCUGAUCCUAUAGUGCUCCUUUAAGCUCACAGGUCUAUAAUUUCCAGGCAAGAAUUUUUUAAAUAUAGGAACCACAUCUGCCUUCCUUCAAUCCUCCGGAACACUGCCUGAAAGAAAAGAAUCUUGAAAGAUUAAAAGCAGAGGUUCACUUAUUUCUACACUUAGUUCCUUAAGUACCCAUGGAUGAAUACUGUCAAGC
Non-coding RNA from Pelobates cultripes (western spadefoot toad), 240 nucleotides. Lineage: Eukaryota; Metazoa; Chordata; Amphibia; Anura; Pelobatidae. The record is from the annotation of a GenBank genome assembly.